UACGAAGGGGGCUAGCGUUGCUCGGAAUCACUGGGCGUAAAGCGCACGUAGGCGGCUUCUUAAGUCGGUGGUGAAAUCCUGGAGCUCAACUCCAGAACUGCCUUUGAUACUGGCGAUCUCGAGUCCGGGAGAGGUGAGUGGAACUGCGAGUGUAGAGGUGAAAUUCGUAGAUAUUCGCAAGAACACCAGUGGCGAAGGCGGCUCACUGGCCCGGUACUGACGCUGAGGUGCGAAAGCGUGGGGAGCAAACAGG
Molecule: ribosomal RNA, 253 nt
Filed under: uncultured bacterium
Lineage: Bacteria
Description: partial 16S ribosomal RNA
Rfam family: Bacterial small subunit ribosomal RNA
Source: RNAcentral